Molecule: ribosomal RNA, 440 nt
Filed under: uncultured bacterium
Lineage: Bacteria
Description: partial 16S ribosomal RNA
Rfam family: Bacterial small subunit ribosomal RNA
Source: RNAcentral
CCUACGGGAGGCUGCAGUGGGGGAUAUUGCACAAUGGGGGAAACCCUGAUGCAGCGACGCCGCGUGGGUGAAGAAGCGCCUCGGCGCGUACAGCCCUGUCAGCAGGGAAGAAAAUGACGGUACCUGAAGAAGAAGCCCCGGCUAACUACGUGCCAGCAGCCGCGGUAAUACGUAGGGGGCAAGCGUUAUCCGGAUUUACUGGGGGUAAAGGGGGCGCAGACGGCGAGGCAAGCCAGAGGUGAAAGCCCGGGGCCCAACCCCGGGACUGCUCGUGGAACUGCGUGGCUAGAGUGCAGGAGGGGCAGGCGGAAUUCCUGGUGUAGCGGUGAAAUGCGUAGAUAUCAGGAGGAACACCGGUGGCGAAGGCGGCCUGCUGGACUGCAACUGACGUUGAGGCCCGAAAGCGUGGGGAGCAAACAGGAUUAGAUACCCGUGUAGUC